UUUAAUUGAGAGUUUGAUCCUGGCUCAGGACGAACGCUGGCGGCGCGCCUAACACAUGCAAGUCGAGCGAUGAAAGAACGCCUAAACCCUUCGGGGUGAAGAUGUUCUGGAUUAGCGGCGGACGGGUGAGUAACACGUGAGUAACCUGCCUUUGACAUGGGGAUAGCCUCGGGAAACUGUGAUUAAUACCCAAUGAAAUUACAAAUUCGCAUGAAAAUGUAAUCAAAGCGUAUAGCGGUCAAAGAUGGACUCGCGUCUGAUUAGCUAGUUGGUAAGGUAACGGCUUACCAAGGCAACGAUCAGUAGCCGGCCUGAGAGGGUGAACGGCCACAUUGGAACUGAGAGACGGUCCAAACUCCUACGGGAGGCAGCAGUGGGGAAUAUUGCACAAUGGAGGGAACUCUGAUGCAGCGACGCCGCGUGAGCGAAGAAGGUUUUCGAAUCGUAAAGCUCUGUCCUAUGGGAAGAUAGUGACGGUACCAUAGGAGGAAGCCCCGGCUAACUACGUGCCAGCAGCCGCGGUAAUACGUAGGGGGCUAGCGUUGUCCGGAAUUACUGGGCGUAAAGGGUUCGCAGGCGGAAUUGCAAGUCAUAUGUGAAAUUCAGAGGCUUAACCUCUGCAAGCAUGUGAAACUGUAAUUCUUGAGAUAUGGAGAGGUAAGUGGAAUUCCUAGUGUAGCGGUGAAAUGCGUAGAUAUUAGGAGGAAUACCAGUGGCGAAGGCGACUUACUGGCCAUAAACUGACGCUGAGGAACGAAAGCGUGGGGAGCAAACAGGAUUAGAUACCCUGGUAGUCCACGCCGUAAACGAUGAGUGCUAGGUGUCGGGAGUAAUUUCGGUGCCGUAGUUAACACAAUAAGCACUCCGCCUGGGGAGUACGUACGCAAGUAUGAAACUCAAAGGAAUUGACGGGGACCCGCACAAGCAGCGGAGCAUGUGGUUUAAUUCGAAGCAACGCGAAGAACCUUACCAAGUCUUGACAUAUUAUUGACCGGUAUAGAGAUAUGCCUUUACCUUCGGGUACAGUAAUACAGGUGGUGCAUGGUUGUCGUCAGCUCGUGUCGUGAGAUGUUGGGUUAAGUCCCGCAACGAGCGCAACCCUUACCUUUAGUUGCCAGCGCGUAAAGGCGGGAACUCUAGAGGGACUGCCGAUGAUAAAUCGGAGGAAGGUGGGGAUGACGUCAAAUCAUCAUGCCCUAUAUGACUUGGGCUACACACGUGCUACAAUGGUCGGAACAAAGAGAAGCGAAAGGGUGACCUCAAGCAAAUCUCAAAAAGCCGAUCCCAGUUCGGAUUGUUCUCUGCAACUCGAGAACAUGAAGUCGGAGUUGCUAGUAAUCGCAAAUCAGAAUGUUGCGGUGAAUGCGUUCCCGGGUCUUGUACACACCGCCCGUCACACCAUGGGAGUUGGCAAUACCCGAAGCCUGUGAGCCAACCUGAAAAGGGGGCAGCAGUCGAAGGUAGGGUUAAUGACUGGGGUGAAGUCGUAACAAGGUAGCCGUAUCGGAAGGUGCGGCUGGAUCACCUCCUUUCUAAGGA
This 1539-nucleotide ribosomal RNA is filed under the name Anaerosphaera multitolerans. RNAcentral describes it as "bacterial SSU rRNA". It matches the Rfam family "Bacterial small subunit ribosomal RNA". The record is from RNAcentral. Lineage: Bacteria; Bacillati; Bacillota; Tissierellia; Tissierellales; Peptoniphilaceae.